ACAAUCACUUUUAAAACUCACGAGUAGACAACUUACAAUAACACAACGACAAGUUGUCUAAAUGAUAUAAUUCUCGAAGCUAUUGGUUUAAAAUCUCUACAACACAUCAAUAAAGUAAGGUACAUUAAGUGUUGCAGCGGAAACAACUCAAGUGGAUUACAUGUAUGAGGACAUGAAAUCCCGAGCCUAAAUUAUAUAUAUAUACACCGAGGGCUUUGCUCUGCUUGCUACCAUCUGCAUCACAGCUUAACCUGCAUAUUUAGAAACAUACGCAGGGCUGAGUACCAAAAAGCACUCAGUGGUCAUGCCGAAAUAACUUUAAAGCUUGCUCUUAGAGCUAUAUAUUGAACUUGCCAUCUCAAGCAUCACACAGGAGUUUUAUUUAAAUAACCUGUGCAUGCAAAACUGUAAAACUUCUCGAUAAUCAUCAUAACAUCAUAUACGUCUGCAGACGAUUACUAUGUAUGUACCAUAUCUACGCAUCAUAUAACUUUAAGUGUUGAGAAGUAGGCCUCCUUCUCAAACACGAUGACAAGCUAACUCAAAGGUUAACUGUCAACUCUGUGUACACAAAUCCUGACUCGCUCAGGACCCGAAUUCGUUCUUCUAUGUAGAUGGUAUCAUACAAAUCUCAAAUAUUGGCAAGUCAAUAAUUGGAAAAUAAAUGCAUACACUCAAACUUUAUAUAAUAAAGUAUGCAUCUUUACUUCUUGAGUUAGUAAGCCCACCUGAUAUACUUAACGAUGUAGAAACUCUUGCUCACUUAUCUAGCAUUGUUACUGUCACCUUCAUAAUAGCAAGAUUAUAAAAUAAGGUUGGAUAACUAGAUAAGAAGAAAUAACUAUAAAUAGCAUCCCGAUAAACUUUUAAUCUUUUGCAAAACUAGGGUUGCAUCAACUAAACUAACCAAAAGCAAACAGUAACAUCAUAUCUCUUGGGAUAUCUCAAGUUGAAAAAGUAAGAGUAACUAACCCAUUCUAUAUAGAUUAGUUUACAAUUGAUAACUAAAAUAUCAAUUCAAGAAUUGACCAAUGACUUAAGCAUAGUUUUACUCAACUAUCCCAAGUAAGUAACUUCAAAUAUGUAAUCAUAUAUGAAUCUCAACUUUGAAAAAUCAUAUAAAAUCAACCUCUUCAAAGAAAAAUACAUGAUUUACCUUUUUAGAAAUUUCUUAAAGUCUAUUUUUAAUGAAAAUUUACAAAAAUAGCAAUAUCUCAAGUGUAUAAGAAAUUAUAUCAAGAAAGACAGAAUCUGCCACAGAACUACGCUGCUUCGCGCAGUACAUUUCAGAAAAUUGUUUGACCUACCUAGAGGUCUCGGAUUCAGCUGAAAUUUUGCAGAGAACGACUACACAUGAUGAAGUUAUUACAGUAAAAAUUUCAAGUUAUUUGGACUCCGAAAACAUCAUCAAAAGUACCCCGAAACAUACUGUUCUGUCCAACCCGAAAACUGACAGCAAUGCUCAAUGACAUAUCACUCAUAUUUUUCUCAAAUAAAAGCUAUAGGAUCUCAAAUACAUCAUCUUAAUAUACAUUAGCAUGCUUUAGCUUAACUUAAUUCAUGUUCAACACAUCAACAUAUAGUAGCAUGCUUAAUAUCCUCCAAUUAUUAUCAUAUAAUCUCAUUUUACAACUCAAAGAGUACAAUUACACAAGCAUCAAACAAAUAGCUAUCCUAUAACAAAAAUUCCCAAAUCCACCAAUCCAUCUAAACUAAACUUAUUGGGAAAUCAUGAUUUCUUUUGAGUAAAUACCCAAAUAACUCUCAAUAAUAUCUUUGCAUACAUAUAAACAUUUAUACAUAGUCAAUUAAUGCUAAUAUAAAGGGAAUAGAUUCUAGGGUUCAUGAAAGAGGCUGAAAAUUGGGGCUUUGGGAUAGAACUUCGAUUCCUAUCAUCCUAUCACUAGAUUCUAGUGAAUAUUUACCUCAAGUACAUAUAACAUUUUGUUUAAUAUCUCACUUUAGGAAUCUCAGAGAGAAGUCACCUAUGCCUCGAUUAUUUUGGCAUGAACUCAGAAAUCACAAGCAACAUCAAACACUUUCUUCAAUAACAAGUAGAAUACUUAACUUUUCGACGACGAGGGACGCAACCCUGUUCAGUCGAGCCAAGACGACGAUGAUGACGGCAGCGCUUGCUGCCUCGGAGGGGAUCGUGUAGCAGCAGUAGCGGCGUCGUGAAUGGAGCGGCGCCGCUGAAUCGCCGGUCUUCCACAGACGGCGGAGGUGGCAGCCGAACCAUGACGGCGGGAGUAGAAAAGAAUUAGGGCUCGUUUUCCUUUCUCUCCUUCUCGAGUAUGGAUUCAAGGCAGAGACGGGCGAAGCUCAGCCGUUCGUUGGCCUUCCAGUCGCGACAGUAGUAAUUUCCUUCUUCUAAGAAUUAGGGCUCCACAUCGGAAAAGAAGGGGGAACGGAGAGGACUUCCGGUGCGAGAACUUCGACCACGUCGAAGAGGAGGCUGUUGUAUUGCCGAAUGAGGGGAAAAACAUCAGAUGUGAGAUAGAAGAGAUUUAUACUGAUUUGAAGUCGGUUUCUUAAGCAGCUGCGUGAAAAGCUGAAGGAUACGUGCCAGACGAAUAGCUAAUCUGGAUUAAUAAAUCUAAUCGACAGCUUAGAGCUAAGUGAUUCACUGCUAACACAAAGACUUGGGCUUGGGCCUCUUUAAUAUAAUCAUUGGCCCAAAUGAUAAAGUAUUGGGCUUAUUUAAACUUAGCCCAUAUAUACAUGUAUUGGACUAUAUUCCAAAACUUAACAAAAUCACUAGCCCAGACAAUAAUUAUUGGGCUUUUUACUAUAAAAUUAGAGACUUCUCUUUCUUCUUUAAAUAAUAGAAAUAGAAAUAAUAUUAACUAAUACAUAUAUACCGUAGUGAAAAUGCCGGUGUUACAAUAAGACUAACAACGUGCUCAACUGAGGCUAUUACGAAACUAAGUUUAUUUCCGCUGCGUAUGAUAUCAGUCNCAAGCAUCACACAGGAGUUUUAUUUAAAUAACCUGUGCAUGCAAAACUGUAAAACUUCUCGAUAAUCAUCAUAACAUCAUAUACGUCUGCAGACAAUGAACAUGUAUGUACCAUAUCUACGCAUCAUAUAACUCUGAGUGUUGAGAAGUAGGCCUCCUUCUCAAACACGAUGACAAGCUAACUCAAAGGUUAACUGUCAACUCUGUGUACACAAAUCCUGACUCGCUCAGGACCCGAAUUCGUUCUUCUAUGUAGAUGGUAUCAUACAAAUCUCAAAUAUUGGCAAGUCAAUAAUUUGAAAACAAAUGCAUACACUCAAACUUUGUAUUAAAGUAUGCAUCUUUAACUGUUGAGUUAGUAAGCCCACCUGAUAUACUUAACGAUGUAGAAACUCUUGCUCACUUAUCUAGCAUUGUUACUGUCACCUUCAUAAUAGCAAGAUUAGAAAAUAAGGUUGGAUAACUAGAUAAGAAGAAAUAACUAUAAAUAGCAUCCCGAUAAACUUUUAAUCUUUUGCAAAACUAGGGUUGCAUCAACUAAACUAACCAAAAGCAAACAGUAACAUCAUAUCUCUUGGGAUAUCUCAAGUUGAAAAAGUAAGAGUAACUAACCCAUUCUAUAUAGAUUAGUUUACAAUUGAUAACUAAAAUAUCAAUUCAAGAAUUGACCAAUGACUUAAGCAUAGUUUUACUCAACUAUCCCAAGUAAGUAACUUCAAAUAUGUAAUCAUAUAUGAAUCUCAACUUUGAAAAAUCAUAUAAAAUCAACCUCUUCAAAGAAAAAUACAUGAUUUACCUUUUUAGAAAUUUCUUAAAGUCUAUUUUUAAUGAAAAUUUACAAAAAUGCAAUAUCUCAAGUGUAUAAGAAAUUAUAUCAAGAAAGACAGAAUCUGCCACAGAACUACGCUGCUUCGCGCAGUACAUUUCAGAAAAUUGUUUGACCUACCUAGUGGUCUAGGAUUCAGCUGCAAUUUUGCAGAGAACGACUACACAUGAUGAAGUUAUUACAGUAAAAAUUUCAAGUUAUUUGGACUCCGAAAACAUCAUCAAAAGUACCCCGAAACAUACUGUUCUGUCCA
This 4036-nucleotide long non-coding RNA is filed under the name Salvia miltiorrhiza (redroot sage). RNAcentral describes it as "long non-coding RNA (SMIL_LNC006584)". The record is from RNAcentral. Lineage: Eukaryota; Viridiplantae; Streptophyta; Magnoliopsida; Lamiales; Lamiaceae.